This 253-nucleotide ribosomal RNA is filed under the name uncultured prokaryote. Its description in RNAcentral is "partial 16S ribosomal RNA". It matches the Rfam family "Bacterial small subunit ribosomal RNA", at positions 525 to 777 of the family's 1533-position model. The record is from RNAcentral.
ACGUAGGGGGCUAGCGUUGUCCGGAAUCAUUGGGCGUAAAGCGCGCGCAGGCGGUUUCUUAAGUCUGAUGUGAAAGCCCACGGCUCAACCGUGGAGGGUCAUUGGAAGCUGGGAAACUUGAGUGCAGAAGAGGAAAGCGGAAUUCCACGUGUAGCGGUGAAAUGCGUAGAGAUGUGGAGGAACACCAGUGGCGAAGGCGGCUUUCUGGUCUGUAACUGACGCUGAGGCGCGAAAGCGUGGGGAGCAAACAGGA